RNAcentral lists this ribosomal RNA (484 nucleotides) under Cylichna cylindracea. RNAcentral's name for it is "partial 16S ribosomal RNA". It matches the Rfam family "Archaeal large subunit ribosomal RNA", at positions 1902 to 2675 of the family's 2987-position model. The record is from RNAcentral. Lineage: Eukaryota; Metazoa; Mollusca; Gastropoda; Cephalaspidea; Cylichnidae.
AAAACAUAGCCCUCAGGAAAUUAAUUUAGGGUGAGGCCUGCCCAAUGAAAUUAGCGUUUUUAAUGGCCGCGGUACUUUGACCGUGCUAAGGUAGCAUAAUCAAUUGACUUUUAAAUGAAGUCUGGAAUGAAAGGGAAAACGGAAUUAAGCUGUCUCCAUAUUUUUAUUAUGAAUUUACUAAUUAGGUGAAAAGGCCUAAAAUAAGAUAAAAGACGAGAAGACCCUAAGAGUUUUUUAAAAGUCCAGUUAUUAGUAAUGAACUUUUUUCGUUGGGGCGACGAGGGGCCAGUUCUUAAAUCAGUAUUAGUUCAAACGCUCUUGUAUAUGCGGAACUAUAGAACGGCAAUUAUCAUAACCAGAUAAACUACCUUAGGGAUAACAGCAUAAUCCUCUUGGGUUUGUGACCUCGAUGUUGGACUAGGAAGCUUUCAGGCUAGCCGCCUGAUAAGGAGAUUCUGUUCGAAUCUUUUCUCCUACGUGAUCU